This 315-nucleotide unclassified non-coding RNA is filed under the name Hevea brasiliensis (rubber tree). The record is from RNAcentral. Lineage: Eukaryota; Viridiplantae; Streptophyta; Magnoliopsida; Malpighiales; Euphorbiaceae.
GAGAGAGAGAGAGAGAGAGAGCAUGGCAGCGCCCUCAAAAAAAAAAAAGUAGCAUAAAAAAGAAAGUGCAGCACAGGAAAGGGAGAGAGCGAGAGCAUGGCAUUGGCAGCCAAAAAAAAAAAAAAGAAACAGGAAGAAAAAAAUGCAGCACAGGAAACAGGGGAAGAGAGCAGAGGAAAUAGAUAGAGGAGAAGAAGAAGAAUAAGAAAACAGUAAAAUUAAAAUAUACAUAUCAGAUUUGUUUGGUCUCUCCCUUCCCUCUUCUCCUUCUUCGUUUUUGUUGGCUACUGGUCCGGACAAGCUUUAAAAAAAAAC